RNAcentral lists this ribosomal RNA (1343 nucleotides) under uncultured bacterium. Its description in RNAcentral is "16S ribosomal RNA". It matches the Rfam family "Bacterial small subunit ribosomal RNA", at positions 28 to 1378 of the family's 1533-position model. The record is from RNAcentral.
GACGAACGCUGGCGGCGUGCUUAACACAUGCAAGUCGAACGGAAAGGCCCUGCUUUUGUGGGGUGCUCGAGUGGCGAACAGGUGAGUAACACGUGAGUAACCUGCCCUUGACUUUGGGAUAACUUCAGGAAACUGGGGCUAAUACCGGAUAGGAGCUCCUGCUGCAUGGUGGGGGUUGGAAAGUUUCGGCGGUUGGGGAUGGACUCGCGGCUUAUCAGCUUGUUGGUGGGGUAGUGGCUUACCAAGGCUUUGACGGGUAGCCGGCCUGAGAGGGUGACCGGCCACAUUGGGACUGAGAUACGGCCCAGACUCCUACGGGAGGCAGCAGUGGGGAAUAUUGCACAAUGGGCGGAAGCCUGAUGCAGCAACGCCGCGUGCGGGAUGACGGCCUUCGGGUUGUAAACCGCUUUCGCCUGUGACGAAGCGUGAGUGACGGUAAUGGGUAAAGAAGCACCGGCUAACUACGUGCCAGCAGCCGCGGUGAUACGUAGGGUGCGAGCGUUGUCCGGAUUUAUUGGGCGUAAAGGGCUCGUAGGUGGUUGAUCGCGUCGGAAGUGUAAUCUUGGGGCUUAACCCUGAGCGUGCUUUCGAUACGGGUUGACUUGAGGAAGGUAGGGGAGAAUGGAAUUCCUGGUGGAGCGGUGGAAUGCGCAGAUAUCAGGAGGAACACCAGUGGCGAAGGCGGUUCUCUGGGCCUUUCCUGACGCUGAGGAGCGAAAGCGUGGGGAGCGAACAGGCUUAGAUACCCUGGUAGUCCACGCUGUAAACGGUGGGUACUAGGUGUGGGGUCCAUUCCACGGGUUCCGUGCCGUAGCUAACGCUUUAAGUACCCCGCCUGGGGAGUACGGUCGCAAGGCUAAAACUCAAAGGAAUUGACGGGGCCCCGCACAAGCGGCGGAGCAUGCGGAUUAAUUCGAUGCAACGCGUAGAACCUUACCUGGGUUUGACAUGGAUCGGGAGUGCUCAGAGAUGGGUGUGCCUCUUUUGGGGUCGGUUCACAGGUGGUGCAUGCCUGUCGUCAGCUCGUGUCGUGAGAUGUUGGGUUAAGUCCCGCAACGAGCGCAACCCUUGUUCACUGUUGCCAGCACGUUAUGGUGGGGACUCAGUGGAGACCGCCGGGGUCAACUCGGAGGAAGGUGGGGAUGACGUCAAGUCAUCAUGCCCCUUAUGUCCAGGGCUUCACGCAUGCUACAAUGGCUGGUACAGAGAGUGGCGAGCCUGUGAGGGUGAGCGAAUCUCGGAAAGCCGGUCUCAGUUCGGAUUGGGGUCUGCAACUCGACCUCAUGAAGUCGGAGUCGCUAGUAAUCGCAGAUCAGCAACGCUGCGGUGAAUAAGUUCCCGGG